Molecule: non-coding RNA, 22 nt
Filed under: Rattus norvegicus (Norway rat)
Lineage: Eukaryota; Metazoa; Chordata; Mammalia; Rodentia; Muridae
Source: RNAcentral
UUCCAUGGUGUUUACUCUCAGU